GGAAGCUUCCUCAAGUAAGCACAUGGGUUGACAAUUAAGCUUUCAAGUUUUGGCAUUGCUCCUGCCCCCAUCGUCCACUCAUCUAGCCAAUACAUUGACUUCAGGUGCAAAAUCUUAAGUUCCGGAAAGCCACCAGAGUCAUCACAGGCCAACUUUCUUCCUAAAUACGAGUUCUUCUUCAGUUUCAGCACUUGAAGGCGUGGAAGCUUUUCCAGCAUUGGCAUGGGAUCCUCCAUUAGCUCAGUAUUUGAUAAGCUCAGAUGGCUCAGACUUAAAGGAAAUUCGUAUUCAGACAGGGCAAUCCGUGAGAGCUUGCUCUCAUUCACUAGUUCCAAGCAUUCAAUUUUGUGGAGUUCGCAUACGCUUUUGGAAACCCCAGAGUGAUAGCAACUCAAAUCUCCAGAUAUCUGAAGAGUUUGAACAUUAGGUAGUCUGCACAAUAUAUCUGGCGUGCAACUACUAGGGUGUAAGGAUGAUAUGAAAAUAAGAUUUUUCAGAGAGCUGGAAUAAUUUUUUGGAGGUGCAGGCAGAGUGAUGGAACCAAAGUUCAGAUGCAUGAGUUUUUGCAUCUUCCAAAUAUCCUCUGGUGUUUGAUCUACGUAGCUAGAUGGCAUGUCUAGUGUUUGAAGGUUUGAAAGGGUGCAUAGCUGUGAAGGAAGACAUUUGAGCGAAGGGAUAUUCAAUUUCAAAUACUUCAAAUGGAAUAAAUUAUCUAAUCCGGGUGGAUAUUGGUCCAGGACUGCAGAACCCAUGUUCAAUACCCGAAGGUGUUUGAACAUUUUACAAAAAUUCUCGCAAUCUAUCGGAUUAAGAUGAUCGCUUUCUGAACUGUAAUUCAGAAAAGAUUGAUUAGUUCUUUCAAGUAAUGUUCGGCCGUCCCCUCACUGUUGUAUGGUAUGAAACCUUCAGCUACCCACAACUGAUAUAAUUGCCUCGUGGAUAUCUCAAUACUUGGAGGGAAGACAAACAAAUAGAUGCAGCAGACUUUCAAGUGAAAAGGUAACUCCAUCACAGAAUAAAUUUGUCUCCAAGCUGUCGGAAUCGCUUCGCCUUGAAAAUAAUUUUCUAAUGGCAUACGUCCGUAGUGUAGGACGAAAAAUUGCAAGCCUUCAUACUUUAUUCUAAUCAGUGGUCCUCCAACGAGCACUGAAUCAAGCCGAAUCUCCUCUGCGUUUUCCAUUUCCAACGAUGUAAGGAGUCUUGGAUCAGCGACCAAUAUCAAUACUCUGCUUCCAUUCUGAUUAUCAGGAAGAACUUCUUCAAGAUCAUCCCAUAUCUCACUCUCAUCGAAGAAGCACAAUAAAGUACUUAUUGUUUGUUAGGUAAUCUCGAAGACUAGAUUUCUUCAAUUGAUAACUUCACCGAGGCAUCACAGACUUGAUUAUGUCAUCCAAUAUCUUGCCAAAAUCGUAGGCUAUAGAAACCCUGACCCAAGCAAGACAGUCAAAAUAGAACUUGACAUGAUUAUUGUUAAAAGUAUCUGCAGCAAAAGCAGUCUUAUCGAAGCCACUGCUGUCGAAAAUUGCAACCACUGAUAUCGAUAGAUCAAACAACUUCUCUCUGCCCUUUUCAAAUUCACUGAUAUCGAGCCGAGGUUGUCCCUCAUUCAAUAGGCGAAUGAUUUUGUUACUUUGUUCACUGAUAUCAAAACCAUUGUCGCCGGGUGGAAGUUGUUGCAUCUGAUUUCUAAUAUCAAAGUGAAAAAUUGCUGCUUUCACUUUCGUUUUCACUGUUUUGCUGCUGCAUGAUGUUGAUAUUGACAUAAUUUUAUUUUAGUUUUUGGGGAUAAAAAUAUUUGUUGACAAAUAUUUUUAUAUUUUACAAUUUAUUAUACAUAUUUUAUCAUUUUAAAGUAAUUUUAAUAAUAAAUAGAAACAUAAUAUUACGAUAAAUAAAUUAAAGUUUAAAUUAUUUUAAAUAUUAUAAAAAUAAUUCUAAUAUUAUUAAUAGGAAGACAUUUUGUUAAUUUUAAAAUUUUUUAACCCAAAGGUUUAUUUAAAAUUUUUAUUAUAAAUAAAAAUAUAAAAUUAAAUAUCAUAAAGUGUAUGCACGUUGACUCUCAAUAUAUACAAACGACUCUCUGGUAUGAUUCAAAGCACCAGUAUAUGCAUCAUUUUAAUGAGAAAGGAUAUUCUAAGAUUAUUUAUGCAUCACCAUUUUUAGUUGUACCGGCUCUAAUGAAAUUGAAGGUGCAAUCAGCAGCUAAAAUGAAGCCAGAAAUUGAAGGUGCAUGAGGAAAUUUUCCUAGAAGAUUGAUAUUUCUUCGACUAGCAAACCAUACAAGUCAAAGCUAGCCAAACCAUAUCUGCAAGUCCGGGGCUUAAAUGGAGUACUUCUACGCAAAAAACAUUAAUCAAAACACAAUAUGAGCACACCCCCGUCAACCCACCCCCCCCCAACACACAUACCGGCAAAUUCAAAAUAGAAAAAGGAGUGCAACUAUUCAAGUUUGUAGACAAUAUUGCAACCAUGGGAUAUUAAAGAAUAUCUUUGAAAUCCGCUAAACAAAACAAUGCCCUGUCUCAUGAUUCGAUGCUCAAUUAGAAUUGAAAUUGAAAGUCCGGCUGUUGCUGUUUCUCUCUCCAGUUUUGCCUACAUAAGUAAAGGGAAAUAAGAAUCAUAAAUUAAAAUCUGCUUUUACAAUUCUUAUUAGAUAGAUAUAAAGGGAUCUUUCGUUGUUUCUCUGCUGCAAUGUGUUGCUAUCCCACUCUGAGAAAGAUCUUUCGUUGUUUCUCUAUGUUGAGACAUAAUUUUGACAUCAGAAGGUUUUAUGACCUCCUUGAAGGUUUUACGAUAAACAUAAAUCUACUGAGAAAGUGGGAAAAAACGAAAAUGCAUAUAAAAGUAUGAGUUAUCAGAUAUGAUUAAAACUCACCUAACAUCAGAUUCCAUAAGGAUAUAACUGGAUGUCAUACCGCCACUCCAUAUCCUUGAAAGUCCGUAGUCUUUGUCUCAACUCUGUCUGAGGCCAAUGUAAAUCUAAUUUGCGCAAGCUCUUUAUGCACCAUAGCUCUUCUGGAAGCUUUCUCAAGUAAGCACAUGGAUUGACAAUUAAGCUUUCAAGUUUGGGCAUUGCUCCAGCCCCCAUCGUCCACUCAUCUAGCCAAUACAUUGACUUCAGGUGCAAAACCUUAAGUUCCGGAAAGCCACCAGAGCCAACACAGGCCAUCUUUCUUCCUAAAUUCGAGUUCUGCUUCAGUUUCAGCACUUGAAGGUGUGGAAGCUUUUCCAGCGUUGGCAUGGGAUCCUCCAUUAGCUCAGUAUUCGAUAAGCUCAGAUGGGUCAGACUUGGGGGAAAUUGGUAUUCAGACAGGAACAUCCGUGAGCGCUUGCUUUCAUUCACCAGCUUCAAGCAUUCAAGUUUGUGCAGUUCGCAUAGGCUUUUGGAAAUCCCAGAUUGAUAAUAACUCAAAUCUCCGGAUAUUCUAAGAGUUUGAAUAUUUGGUAGUCUGCCCAAUAUAGCUGGAGUGCAACUACUAGGGUGUAAGGCUGAUAUGAAAAUGAGAUUCUUCAAAGAGCUGGAAUAAUUUUUUGGAGGUGCAGGGAGAGUGAUGCAACUGAAGUUUAGAUGCAUGAGUUUUUGCAU
RNAcentral lists this long non-coding RNA (3586 nucleotides) under Citrus maxima (pomelo). RNAcentral's name for it is "long non-coding RNA (CMAX_LNC001224)". The record is from RNAcentral. Lineage: Eukaryota; Viridiplantae; Streptophyta; Magnoliopsida; Sapindales; Rutaceae.